UUCCAAAGUGUUCAGUUCAGGGUAGCUUCCCUGUUCUGUUCGUUAUAUUUGGGCACAUUGAAACACAGGCUGGGGGAGAUGAUUGGAUAGAAAGCAUUGCUCUAUUCAUUUAUCCCAGCCUACAAAA
This is a small nucleolar RNA of Molossus molossus (Pallas's mastiff bat), 127 nucleotides long. The record is from RefSeq and is a predicted model, not a curated record. Lineage: Eukaryota; Metazoa; Chordata; Mammalia; Chiroptera; Molossidae.